This 598-nucleotide long non-coding RNA is filed under the name Phoenix dactylifera (date palm). RNAcentral's name for it is "long non-coding RNA (PDAC_LNC011349)". Lineage: Eukaryota; Viridiplantae; Streptophyta; Magnoliopsida; Arecales; Arecaceae. The record is from RNAcentral.
UUCCUUGCUUUGACAGUUGCCAUACUUGAAAAUAUUUGUCCAUUAAUUACAUGUGUAUUAGCUUAGGGUUUAUUUUUAUUAGAAUCUCAUGUCAUAUAAUUCAUGAUGUUUGUGGGUAACAUCCCUGAAAAUCCUCACGAGAUAACACUCGUCCACUAGGGUAACCUAGGGGUUUAAUGGCUUGUUGCACGUGCUAAGUGCAAUGUGAUUCCUACGAAAGUGAGUACUUAUCUUAAUUUUAUGCAAUUAGUUCUAAUAAAACAUCAUAGGUUAGACCACACCUUUUGCACUCUCAUUUUAGUAUUUACUCGUUAAUUGCUAGAGACUAGCAAUAAGCUAGUUGGGGGGUGUGAUGAGAGCACAAAAGUGCGAUCUAUACAUCCCUUAAAUUAGUAUUAUUGCUAACAAAAAAAUGAUAAAAAUGCUGCAUUAAUAUUAUAUUUUUGUAGGGUGCAGGUGAUCGUAAAUCAAAGUUAAAUUUCGCAUCGGGUCCAAAAAUAUGCAUCACCACAGGUGACCAGCCAACCACAUGGGGUCAGUCCUAGUUGCACACUAGAAGGAGCAUUAGCCGACUAGGUGCAGCCACAUCUAGCGUGCA